This 473-nucleotide ribosomal RNA is filed under the name Cernosvitoviella aggtelekiensis. RNAcentral describes it as "partial 16S ribosomal RNA". It matches the Rfam family "Bacterial large subunit ribosomal RNA", at positions 1819 to 2596 of the family's 2925-position model. The record is from RNAcentral. Lineage: Eukaryota; Metazoa; Annelida; Clitellata; Enchytraeida; Enchytraeidae.
UGCUUUUUGAAUUAUAUAGAAAGUAAGUCUCCUGCCCGGUGAUAUUAUUUAACGGCCGCGGUAUUAUAACCGUGCAAAGGUAGCAUAAUAACUUGUUCAUUAAUUGUGGACUAGAAUGAAUGGGGUAACGAGGCAGAGCUGUUUCGAUAAGAAGAGUAUAAAUUAAUUUUUAAGUGAAGAAGCUUAAAUUGUAUUAAAAGACAAGAAGACCCUAUAGAGCUUUAAUUUUUUAUAUAUUUAUAGAUUUAAAUUUCGGUUGGGGCGACUUGGGAUAAAUCAUCCCUUAUAUUUAUGAUGAACUUAUCUUUAAAUGAUCCUAUUUUAGAUCUUUGGAAUAAGUUACCUUAGGGAUAACAGGCUAAUAUCACUAUAGAGUUCAUAUUGACAGUGAAGAUUGGCACCUCGAUGUUGGCUUAGAAGAUCUAUAUGGCGCAAAAGUCAUAUUUAGAGGGUUUGUUCAACCUAUAAUAUUC